This 465-nucleotide ribosomal RNA is filed under the name uncultured Comamonadaceae bacterium. RNAcentral's name for it is "bacterial SSU rRNA". It matches the Rfam family "Bacterial small subunit ribosomal RNA", at positions 30 to 491 of the family's 1533-position model. The record is from RNAcentral. Lineage: Bacteria; Pseudomonadati; Pseudomonadota; Betaproteobacteria; Burkholderiales; Comamonadaceae.
AUUGAACGCUGGCGGAAUGCCUUUACACAUGCAAGUCGCCGGUAGAGGGGGCACUGCCCUUGAGAGUGGCGAACGGGUGAGUAAUAUAUCGGAACGUGCCCAGUCGUGGGGGAUAACGUAGUGAAAAUUACGCUAAUACCGCAUACGAUCUAAGGAUGAAAGCGGGGGAUCGCAAGACCUCGCGCGAUUGGAGCGGCCGAUAUCAGAUUAGGUAGUUGGUAGGGUAAAGGCCUACCAAGCCAACGAUCUGUAGCUGGUCUGAGAGGACGACCAGCCACACUGGAACUGAGACACGGUCCAGACUCCUACGGGAGGCAGCAGUGGGGAAUUUUGGACAAUGGGCGAAAGCCUGAUCCAGCCAUUCCGCGUGCAGGAUGAAGGCCCUCGGGUUGUAAACUGCUUUUGUACAGAACGAAAAGGUCUCUAUUAAUACUAGGGGCUCAUGACGGUACUGUAAGAAUAAGC